Molecule: non-coding RNA, 108 nt
Organism: Acanthosepion pharaonis
Lineage: Eukaryota; Metazoa; Mollusca; Cephalopoda; Sepiida; Sepiidae
Source: the annotation of a GenBank genome assembly
UUACGCCCAUAUCAUGUUGUAACACCGGUUCUCGAACGAUCACCGAAGUUAAGCAAACUCAUGCCUCGUCAGUAUGUAGAUGGGUGACCGCUUGAGAAUCCAAGGUGC